AAAGCAUCAAGACAAGUUAAAAGCUAAGAGUUGUACUAUUAUACCAUAUGAUGAUCCGCCCCGUGAACUAACACAACAUUCAAAUUCCAGGACCUUGGUCCAACAAAAAACUUCAGGGAAUUGUCAGCAGCUGUCUGUCAUGGUAAGGGCAACGAAAGAUGAUGAGCUUAUCAAGUAUAUGUCAAAUCUGCCAUGUUAUCUCCAGCGUGUGGAGAAAACAGAAAACAUCCAGGAUAAGGCUUU
RNAcentral lists this unclassified non-coding RNA (243 nucleotides) under Hevea brasiliensis (rubber tree). The record is from RNAcentral. Lineage: Eukaryota; Viridiplantae; Streptophyta; Magnoliopsida; Malpighiales; Euphorbiaceae.